UUGAAGAGUUUGAUCAUGUCUCAGAUUCAACGCUGGCGGCAAGUCUAACACAUGCAAGUCAAGCGGCAGCAGAAAAAAGCUUGCUUCCUUGCCGGCGAGCGGCGGACAGGUGAGUAAGGUAUAGGGAUCUGGCCGAAGGCGGGGGAUAAACACUGGAAACGGUGGCUAAUACCGCAUAAUCUCUAAGAAGCAAAGUGGGAAACCAUUCUGGUCUCACAUCUUCGGAUAAACCCAUAUGAGAUUAGCUAGUAGGUAGGUAAUUGCUCACCUAGGCGACGAGCUCUAGCUGGUCUGAGUAGAUGAUCAACCACACUAAAAUUAAGACACGGCCCAGACUCCUACGGGGAGGCAGCAGUGGGAAAUAUUGCACAAUGAGCGUAAGCCUGAUGCAGCCAUGCCGCGUGUAUGAAGAAAACCUUCGGGUUAUAAAGUACUUUCAGUCGUGAGGAAAGUGUUAAGGUUAAUAACCUUGGCAAUUGACGUUAGCGACAGAAGAAGCACCGGCUAACUUCGUGCCAGCAGCCCCAGUAAUACGCAGGGUGCGAGCGUUAAUCAGAAUUACUGGGCGUAAAAGGCACGCAGGCGGUUAAUUAAGUUGGAUGUGAAAUCCCGGGGCUUAACCUGGGAAUAACAUUCAAGAUUCGUUAGCUAGAGUCUUGUAGAAGGCGUAAAAUUCCAUGUGUAGCGGUCAAAUGCGUAAAGAUGUGGAGGAAUACCGGUGGCGAAGGCGCGGGGGGCCCCCUGGAAAAAGACUGAUGCUCAUGUGCGAAAGCGUGGGAAGCAAACAGGAUUAGAUACCCUGGUAGUCCACGCUGUAAACGAUGUCGAUUUGGAGGUUGUCGUCAUAAACUGUAGCCUGCGGAGCUAACGCGUUAAAUCAACCUCCUGGGGGAGGGUACGGCCGCAAGGUUAAAACUCAAAUAAAUUGACGGGAAGCCCCCACAAGCGGUGGGGCAUGUGGUUUAAUUCGAUGCAACGCGAAGAAUCUUACCUACUACUCUUGACAUCCAGCAAAUCCUUUAGAGAUGGACGAGUGCCUUUGGGAGCGCUGAGACAGGUGCUGCAUGGCUGUCGUCAUGCUCGUGUUGUGAAAUGUUGGGUUAAGUCCCGCAACGAGCGUAACCCUUAUCCUUUGUUGCCAGCGAUUCGGUCGGGAACUCAAAGGAGACUGCCGGUGAUAAGCCGGAGGAAGGUGGGGAUGACGUCAAGUCAUCAUGGCCCUUACGAGUAGGGCUACACACGUGCUACAAUUGCGUAUACAGAGAGAAGCGAGCCAGCGAAAGGAAGCGGAACUCAGAAAGUACGUCGAAGUCCGGAUUGGAGUCUGCAACUCGACUCCAUGAAGUCGGAAUCGCUAGUAAUCGCGGAUCAGCACGUCGUGGUGAAUACGUUCCCGGGCCUUGUACAAAAAGCCCGUCACACCAUGGGAGUAGGUUGCAAAAGAAGUAAGUAGCUUAACCUUUUUGGUUGGCGCUUACCACUUUGUGAUUCAUGACUGGGGUGAAGUCGUAACAAAGUAACCAUAGGGGAACCUAGGGUUGGAUCACCUCCUU
RNAcentral lists this ribosomal RNA (1553 nucleotides) under Arsenophonus endosymbiont of Bemisia tabaci Q2. RNAcentral's name for it is "bacterial SSU rRNA". It matches the Rfam family "Bacterial small subunit ribosomal RNA". The record is from RNAcentral. Lineage: Bacteria; Pseudomonadati; Pseudomonadota; Gammaproteobacteria; Enterobacterales; Morganellaceae.